UACGUAGGUGGCAAGCGUUAUCCGGAAUUAUUGGGCGUAAAGAGCGCGCAGGUGGUUGAUUAAGUCUGAUGUGAAAGCCCACGGCUUAACCGUGGAGGGUCAUUGGAAACUGGUCGACUUGAGUGCAGAAGAGGGAAGUGGAAUUCCAUGUGUAGCGGUGAAAUGCGUAGAGAUAUGGAGGAACACCAGUUGCGAAGGCGGCUCUCUGGACUGUAACUGACACUGAGGCACGAAAGCGUGGGGAGCAAACAGGAUUAGA
Molecule: ribosomal RNA, 259 nt
Filed under: uncultured prokaryote
Description: partial 16S ribosomal RNA
Rfam family: Bacterial small subunit ribosomal RNA
Source: RNAcentral